AUACAUGCAAGUCGAGCGAACGGACGAGAAGCUUGCUUCUCUGAUGUUAGCGGCGGACGGGUGAGUAACACGUGGAUAACCUACCUAUAAGACUGGGAUAACUCCGGGAAACCGGAGCUAAUACCGGAUAAUAUUUUGAACCGCAUGGUUCAAAAGUGAAAGACGGUCUUGCUGUCACUUAUAGAUGGAUCCGCGCUGCAUUAGCUAGUUGGUAAGGUAACGGCUUACCAAGGCAACGAUGCAUAGCCGACCUGAGAGGGUGAUCGGCCACACUGGAACUGAGACACGGUCCAGACCCCUACGGGAGGCAGCAGUAGGGAAUCUUCCGCAAUGGGCGAAAGCCUGACGGAGCAACGCCGCGUGAGUGAUGAAGGUCUUCGGAUCGUAAAACUCUGUUAUUAGGGAAGAACAUAUGUGUAAGUAACUGUGCACAUCUUGACGGUACCUAAUCAGAAAGCCACGGCUAACUACGUGCCAGCAGCCGCGGUAAUACGUAGGUGGCGAGCGUUAUCCGGAAUUAUUGGGCGUAAAGCGCGCGUAGGCGGUUUUUUAAGUCUGAUGUGAAAGCCCACAGCUCAACCGUGGAGGGUCAUUGGAAACUGGAAAACUUGAGUGCAGAAGGGGAAAGUGGAAUUCCAUGUGUAGCGGUGAAAUGCGCAGAGAUAUGGAGGAACACCAGUGGCGAAGGCGACUUUCUGGUCUGUAACUGACGCUGAUGUGCG
Molecule: ribosomal RNA, 722 nt
Filed under: uncultured Staphylococcus sp.
Lineage: Bacteria; Bacillati; Bacillota; Bacilli; Caryophanales; Staphylococcaceae
Description: bacterial SSU rRNA
Rfam family: Bacterial small subunit ribosomal RNA
Source: RNAcentral